Molecule: ribosomal RNA, 584 nt
Filed under: uncultured bacterium
Lineage: Bacteria
Description: partial 16S ribosomal RNA
Rfam family: Bacterial small subunit ribosomal RNA
Source: RNAcentral
UGGGGAAUUUUGGACAAUGGGCGAAAGCCUGAUCCAGCAAUGCCGCGUGUGUGAAGAAGGCCUUCGGGUUGUAAAGCACUUUUGUCCGGAAAGAAAUCCUUGGCUCUAAUACAGUCGGGGGAUGACGGUACCGGAAGAAUAAGCACCGGCUAACUACGUGCCAGCAGCCGCGGUAAUACGUAGGGUGCAAGCGUUAAUCGGAAUUACUGGGCGUAAAGCGUGCGCAGGCGGUUUGCUAAGACCGAUGUGAAAUCCCCGGGCUCAACCUGGGAACUGCAUUGGUGACUGGCAGGCUAGAGUAUGGCAGAGGGGGGUAGAAUUCCACGUGUAGCAGUGAAAUGCGUAGAGAUGUGGAGGAAUACCGAUGGCGAAGGCAGCCCCCUGGGCCAAUACUGACGCUCAUGCACGAAAGCGUGGGGAGCAAACAGGAUUAGAUACCCCUGGUAGUCCACGCCCUAAACGAUGUCAACUAGUUGUUGGGGAUUCAUUUCCUUAGUAACGUAGCUAACGCGUGAAGUUGACCGCCUGGGGGAGUACGGUCGCAAGAUUAAAACUCAAAUGAAUUGACGGGGUCAUAGCUGUUU